AUUUAUUUAUUUAUUUAUUUUUAUUUUUUGAGUUUGCUGGAUUUUAUAUUUUUUGGAAAUAAUAUUGAACAUAAUCUACAAUUCCUUGGAGAUAAUAUCUUUUUGGAGGUGGAGAAUGUUCCUUUUGGCUGGUUUGUGGGCUAUUUGGGCCGAAAGGAAUAAUGGAUGUUUCCAAGAUAAAUGUGGUUCCUCCGUAACUGUUUUCUCUUCGGCCCUUGCCAAUGUAGUCCUUUGGGUUGGGCUGCAGCCCUUGUAAUUUUUUUUGCUUCCUCUUUCUGUCUUUUUUGUUGUUUGUUGCUCUUUUUCUUUCGGCUUUGCUGUUUUUAAUAAAGUUGUCAUCUUUCAAUAAAAAUAAAAAAUCUGCAAUUCCUUCAUUGGAUUUUGUUGCAUCAAACAACUCACAAUUGCCUCAUGAAGACAUUAUGAUAUUAUAUUCUAGUAUUGUAAUGAUUCAUCCAUUUCAAUCAUUUAAUUCUUUCUCAAUUUUGACUCUUUUACGUAUUGUUAUAGAAACUAAAAGGGGGAGUGGUAGAGGCCCAUCCUUCUUGGAUGGCUCUGAUCAAAAUGAAGAACAAAAACUAGGUGUAGCAGAAAACACUGAUGGUGAAGAACAUGUUGAUGGUGAUAAUGGACAGCCUGUUGAGGAAAAUGUCGAAGUAGAUUACUCGAAUCUUACUAGGGGACAGAAGAAACUGUUUGAAUUGAGGCUUUAAUGUAAAUUCAUUAUUUUAAGUUGCGUUUGGUUGCACAAAAUAUCAUGCAAUUUCAUGAUAUUUUGCAACAAAUGAGGCUGCUUAAUCAUGAAAUAACAUGGAAUCUCAGAUAUUUGGAGCACCCAAAUGCAGCCUUAGAUAUCAUUCAUCAUAUUAAGGCAAUUAGUAGCGAGUCCCGUGGAAAUGCAUGAGUCGUGUUGAAAAAACUACAUGAUUAACAGGCUGUUAACAGAUAUAUCGAUGAAAUGGUAGCAGAUCUUGUCCCUGGAGUCCUAUUGAUUGAUGAGGUUCACAUGCUCGAUAUGGAAUGCUUUUCAUACCUUAACCACGCCCUAGAAAGCUCACUAUCACAAAUACUAAUUUUUGCUACAAACAGAGGAAUAUGCAAUGUCAGGCGAACUGAUAUGAGCAGUCCACAUGGCAUACAUGUUGGCCUGUUAGACCAUCUUGUGAUUAUACGGACAUAAACUUACGGUCCAGCUGACAUGAUACAGGUUCAUGCUCAGUUACUUCUUUGUUUCUGUAAAAAUGUAUAAUCUACUCUUUGUAGACUUGAAUCAUUUGGAUUAUUGUGCUUCAGGAGUGUGAUGGAGAUACACACGGGGUAUUAUCAAACAUUGU
Molecule: long non-coding RNA, 1334 nt
Organism: Magnolia sinica
Lineage: Eukaryota; Viridiplantae; Streptophyta; Magnoliopsida; Magnoliales; Magnoliaceae
Exons: 3
Source: RefSeq, a predicted model, not a curated record